Molecule: long non-coding RNA, 250 nt
Filed under: Arabidopsis thaliana (thale cress)
Lineage: Eukaryota; Viridiplantae; Streptophyta; Magnoliopsida; Brassicales; Brassicaceae
Description: ncRNA (AT3G03475)
Source: RNAcentral
GAUCUGAUUCACGAAAGAAACCUAAUACAGAGCAGAGAAAUCAAACAAGAUCAAUGAGAAGUAGUAUAAACACACAUAACAAACUCGAAUCAAUUAAAAAUUGGAAUCUAGAUUCAAUAACCAGAUCUAUAAAUCAACACUUCUCUCAAACAAAAAUCGACACUUGGUUCAAAUUCUACAGAAAUGCAGGAAUCUUGAGAAAGUAUGAAUCGAAGAAAAGUGAACAUACCUUAAAAGGAGAUUAGUAAUG